AACGAACUACCUCUAGAUGUCAACGGGCAACUAGGAAAAACUCGACGUUUAUCGACACCAACAGAGAGGAGGAAGGGACAUCAACGAAUGACCCGGAAAGGAUACAACUAGAUAUCAACGGAUAACUAGGAAAAACUCGACGUUUAUCGACACCAACGUGAAGGAGAACCUGAGGUGAAAGGGAUACAACUAGUUAUCAACGGAUAACUAGGAAAAACUCGACGUUUAUCGACACCAACGGAGAGG
This 246-nucleotide long non-coding RNA is filed under the name Lathyrus oleraceus (garden pea). RNAcentral's name for it is "Pisum sativum (pea) long non-coding RNA (PSAT_LNC007115)". Lineage: Eukaryota; Viridiplantae; Streptophyta; Magnoliopsida; Fabales; Fabaceae. The record is from RNAcentral.